RNAcentral lists this ribosomal RNA (2892 nucleotides) under Neisseria gonorrhoeae. RNAcentral's name for it is "23S ribosomal RNA". It matches the Rfam family "Bacterial large subunit ribosomal RNA". Lineage: Bacteria; Pseudomonadati; Pseudomonadota; Betaproteobacteria; Neisseriales; Neisseriaceae. The record is from RNAcentral.
AGUCAAGUGAAUAAGUGCAUCAGGCGGAUGCCUUGGCGAUGAUAGGCGACGAAGGACGUGUAAGCCUGCGAAAAGCGCGGGGGAGCUGGCAAUAAAGCUAUGAUUCCGCGAUGUCCGAAUGGGGAAACCCACUGCAUUCUGUGCAGUAUCCUAAGUUGAAUACAUAGGCUUAGAGAAGCGAACCCGGAGAACUGAACCAUCUAAGUACCCGGAGGAAAAGAAAUCAACCGAGAUUCCGCAAGUAGUGGCGAGCGAACGCGGAGGAGCCUGUACGUAAUAACUGUCGAGAUAGAAGAACAAGCUGGGAAGCUUGACCAUAGCGGGUGACAGUCCCGUAUUCGAAAUCUCAACAGCGGUACUAAGCGUACGAAAAGUAGGGCGGGACACGUGAAAUCCUGUCUGAAUAUGGGGGGACCAUCCUCCAAGGCUAAAUACUCAUCAUCGACCGAUAGUGAACCAGUACCGUGAGGGAAAGGCGAAAAGAACCCCGGGAGGGGAGUGAAACAGAACCUGAAACCUGAUGCAUACAAACAGUGGGAGCGCCCUAGUGGUGUGACUGCGUACCUUUUGUAUAAUGGGUCAACGACUUACAUUCAGUAGCGAGCUUAACCGGAUAGGGGAGGCGUAGGGAAACCGAGUCUUAAUAGGGCGAUGAGUUGCUGGGUGUAGACCCGAAACCGAGUGAUCUAUCCAUGGUCAGGUUGAAGGUGCCGUAACAGGUACUGGAGGACCGAACCCACGCAUGUUGCAAAAUGCGGGGAUGAGCUGUGGGUAGGGGUGAAAGGCUAAACAAACUCGGAGAUAGCUGGUUCUCCCCGAAAACUAUUUAGGUAGUGCCUCGAGCAAGACACUGAUGGGGGUAAAGCACUGUUAUGGCUAGGGGGUUAUUGCAACUUACCAACCCAUGGCAAACUCAGAAUACCAUCAAGUGGUUCCUCGGGAGACAGACAGCGGGUGCUAACGUCCGUUGUCAAGAGGGAAACAACCCAGACCGCCGGCUAAGGUCCCAAAUGAUAGAUUAAGUGGUAAACGAAGUGGGAAGGCACAGACAGCCAGGAUGUUGGCUUAGAAGCAGCCAUCAUUUAAAGAAAGCGUAAUAGCUCACUGGUCGAGUCGUCCUGCGCGGAAGAUGUAACGGGGCUCAAAUCUAUAACCGAAGCUGCGGAUGCCGGUUUACCGGCAUGGUAGGGGAGCGUUCUGUAGGCUGAUGAAGGUGCAUUGUAAAGUGUGCUGGAGGUAUCAGAAGUGCGAAUGUUGACAUGAGUAGCGAUAAAGCGGGUGAAAAGCCCGCUCGCCGAAAGCCCAAGGUUUCCUACGCAACGUUCAUCGGCGUAGGGUAAGUCGGCCCCUAAGGCGAGGCAGAAAUGCGUAGUCGAUGGGAAACAGGUUAAUAUUCCUGUACUUGAUUCAAAUGCGAUGUGGGGACGGAGAAGGUUAGGUUGGCAAGCUGUUGGAAUAGCUUGUUUAAGCCGGUAGGUGGAAGACUUAGGCAAAUCCGGGUUUUCUUAACACCGAGAAGUGAUGACGAGUGUCUACGGACACGAAGCAACCGAUACCACGCUCCCAGGAAAAGCCACUAAGCUUCAGUUUGAAUCGAACCGUACCGCAAACCGACACAGGUGGGCAGGAUGAGAAUUCUAAGGCGCUUGAGAGAACUCGGGAGAAGGAACUCGGCAAAUUGAUACCGUAACUUCGGGAGAAGGUAUGCCCUCUAAGGUUAAGGACUUGCUCCGUAAGCCCCGGAGGGUCGCAGAGAAUAGGUGGCUGCGACUGUUUAUUAAAAACACAGCACUCUGCCAACACGAAAGUGGACGUAUAGGGUGUGACGCCUGCCCGGUGCCGGAAGGUUAAUUGAAGAUGUGCAAGCAUCGGAUCGAAGCCCCGGUAAACGGCGGCCGUAACUAUAACGGUCCUAAGGUAGCGAAAUUCCUUGUCGGGUAAGUUCCGACCCGCACGAAUGGCGUAACGAUGGCCACACUGUCUCCUCCCGAGACUCAGCGAAGUUGAAGUGGUUGUGAAGAUGCAAUCUACCCGCUGCUAGACGGAAAGACCCCGUGAACCUUUACUGUAGCUUUGCAUUGGACUUUGAAGUCACUUGUGUAGGAUAGGUGGGAGGCUUGGAAGCAGAGACGCCAGUCUCUGUGGAGUCGUCCUUGAAAUACCACCCUGGUGUCUUUGAGGUUCUAACCCAGACCCGUCAUCCGGGUCGGGGACCGUGCAUGGUAGGCAGUUUGACUGGGGCGGUCUCCUCCCAAAGCGUAACGGAGGAGUUCGAAGGUUACCUAGGUCCGGUCGGAAAUCGGACUGAUAGUGCAAUGGCAAAAGGUAGCUUAACUGCGAGACCGACAAGUCGGGCAGGUGCGAAAGCAGGACAUAGUGAUCCGGUGGUUCUGUAUGGAAGGGCCAUCGCUCAACGGAUAAAAGGUACUCCGGGGAUAACAGGCUGAUUCCGCCCAAGAGUUCAUAUCGACGGCGGAGUUUGGCACCUCGAUGUCGGCUCAUCACAUCCUGGGGCUGUAGUCGGUCCCAAGGGUAUGGCUGUUCGCCAUUUAAAGUGGUACGUGAGCUGGGUUUAAAACGUCGUGAGACAGUUUGGUCCCUAUCUGCAGUGGGCGUUGGAAGUUUGACGGGGGCUGCUCCUAGUACGAGAGGACCGGAGUGGACGAACCUCUGGUGUACCGGUUGUAACGCCAGUUGCAUAGCCGGGUAGCUAAGUUCGGAAGAGAUAAGCGCUGAAAGCAUCUAAGCGCGAAACUCGCCUGAAGAUGAGACUUCCCUUGCGGUUUAACCGCACUAAAGGGUCGUUCGAGACCAGGACGUUGAUAGGUGGGGUGUGGAAGCGCGGUAACGCGUGAAGCUAACCCAUACUAAUUGCCCGUGAGGCUUGACUCU